CUAGAAAGUUUUGGUCCAGGAUGAAGUUUGGAUGAAACUAAGCAAAGGUCCGAACCGACUGAUGUUCAAGAAUCAGUGGAUGAGUUGUGGUUAGGGGUGAAAUGCCACUCGAACCCAGAGCUAGCUGG
Molecule: non-coding RNA, 128 nt
Filed under: Leersia perrieri
Lineage: Eukaryota; Viridiplantae; Streptophyta; Magnoliopsida; Poales; Poaceae
Description: Bacterial large subunit ribosomal RNA
Rfam family: Bacterial large subunit ribosomal RNA
Source: Rfam by way of RNAcentral